Molecule: long non-coding RNA, 1713 nt
Filed under: Malus domestica (apple)
Lineage: Eukaryota; Viridiplantae; Streptophyta; Magnoliopsida; Rosales; Rosaceae
Description: long non-coding RNA (MDOM_LNC019033)
Source: RNAcentral
GUGAGUGUUCGUUUUCAUAUCUACAUCAAUCUUCUCACAUAUGACUAGUAUAGGGUGUGUAGUUAGAAAAUCUGAGUGAAAAUUGAGUGCAUACUUUGUAAGGAAUUGAGUAAAUUCUCUAAGGCAUGUUACUACAUCAAAAACAUUGUUUUAAUCGAUUAAUUGUGAACAAGUAAAUGGUGACUAUGAUUAAGUAUGUACUUAAGUGUAAGAUGAUUCAAAUAUGUGGGGAUAAUGAUUGUUAACAUGUCAUGUGCAUUGGAAAUCCCUGAGGCAAAUGUUGGAAGGUUUAGAUUGUGUUUUAUUUAUUUAUUUUUAUUUCGUUUUAUUUCUUUGUUUUGCUCGAGGACUAGCAAAAGCUAAGUGUGGGGGAAUUUGAUAGGAGCAUAUUUAUGCGACUUAGUUAACAUGUUUUCUUGCAUUUACUUAGUUAGUUAUUGCUUAUAAGAGUGUUUUAAGCUAUUUUCGUGUGUUUGUAGGUCCUAAAUAACAAAGUUGGAAAGAAAGUGCAUUUUGGUGCAAUUUGGAGCAAUUUUGGGCCAAAAUGGAUUGCAUGCAUAUGGUGCAAGUGGGAUGGACGUUUUUGGUGUUAUAAAAAGGGUUUCAACACAUGCAAAAAUCUGAAUAAUGAAGUUGAAGUGUAGAAGUGUGCAGAUACAUACACUUAAGGAACAAUUUGAAAGGAAAAGAAGUUAAAGAUGCCAUUUGUUGGAUUGCUUUACAAGUUGUAUUCACAUUUUCAGCAACUACAAACAUAAUUGUAAGCUGAAAUGAUGCAUAGCAUGUGUGUAGAGGUGUAAAGUGGCCAAAAGUUGAUGUUUGCAAGAUGAAAUGAUGCAAAACAUGUGUGUGAAAGUUGUCUAACAGCUAGUACAUGUGGAAAAGGGAUGGAAUACAAGGCAAAUGCAUCAGAAAGUGAAGAAUGAAGGCACAUGGACAGCUACAAAAGAGUUGAAUUAGCAAGAGAGGAAUGAUUGCCUUUUGUUAAAGGCAAGACACAAUGAUAAAAUAGCAUGUAAACUAGCUGUUUUUGCAUCAUUUUGGUCUUUGUUUGUAUUGUUUAUUGAAGCCACUUGAGUGAUUCUUUGCUUUGGAGCUUCUAUAAAUAGGGAGUGAAGGGAAGAACAACAUACUACAUCAAAAAAUACCCCCUCUCAUCUCAGAAAUUUCGUCCAGCCACAUUCCACACCAUUCUACACUCCCAAAUCACCAUACAUCCAUAAGUCCUUACCUUUGCCGCACCCUUCACCUAUCCUAAACACUACCAUACCAUCUCACAUCCAUUCCUCCAUAAAAAUAUCACCCAAAACCUGUCCCCAAGUCUUGUGCUGCAGCAAAGAGGAAAGGAGGACAGUCCAUAGGCGUGCUUGUUGUUCAAAGUGGAUCGUUGGAGCGUCUAGGUGUUUUCUUUCUUUUGUUUUCAAUGUCUAAAUUUGUUUAUCUUUGCUUUGUGAGUAUGAGAAACUAAACCCACCUUGGCUAGGGGGGGAUUCAAAACCAUGUUUAUGCUUGCUAUAUGAUUUGAUUACUUCCAAUUGCGUUUCAUGAAUUGUGAAUUUAAUUUACUUAUCUCUAUGAAUUAAAACUAAUUUGUUUAUGUUGGUUGAGAGUGCAUGCUUAAUUUUCAUGCAUAAGUUUGAUGCUAGGAUAUAAGGGAGUUUCACCUAAUCGUUAUGAACUUAUAUUCAUAAGUAGUAAAGGUUGUUGAUCACA